RNAcentral lists this ribosomal RNA (254 nucleotides) under uncultured Bacteroidales bacterium. RNAcentral's name for it is "partial 16S ribosomal RNA". It matches the Rfam family "Bacterial small subunit ribosomal RNA", at positions 524 to 776 of the family's 1533-position model. The record is from RNAcentral. Lineage: Bacteria; Pseudomonadati; Bacteroidota; Bacteroidia; Bacteroidales.
UACGGAGGAUGCGAGCGUUAUCCGGAUUUAUUGGGUUUAAAGGGUGCGUAGGCUGUGAGGUAAGUCAGCGGUGAAAUGCCCCCGCUCAACGGGGUGAAGUGCCAUUGAUACUGCCUUGCUGGAAUGCGGAUGCCGUGGGAGGAAUGUGUGGUGUAGCGGUGAAAUGCAUAGAUAUCACGCAGAACCCCGAUUGCGAAGGCAGCAUACCGGUGCACAACUGACGCUCAGGCACGAAAGCGUGGGUAUCGAACAGG